UCCGGCGGAGGAGGGAGGAUCAUCCGCGGCGUCUCGCGUUUAAACCAAGCGCGAGGACAUGGGUGCGCAGCUGUGAAUUCGCCUUUUGCACGUCGUUCACCGAGCUCGCGCGCGCACCUCGACUAGCAGCAUCAGUCACAGCAAGUCGUUAUUCCUCAGCACUUGGGUGUCGUCUUUCCCUGCACUUUGGCGCGUUCGGGACUGAGGAAACAAAAAAUGAUGGACCAGGACAAGUACCUGCCCGAGCUGCUGGCUGAGAAGGAAAGCUUGGAUCCGUCGUUCGUGCAUGCGAUGCGCCUUCUGGCUGAAGAAAUCGAAAAGUACGAAGGCGACGAGCUUAGGAAAGACGGCGAGGUGAAGAAAUACCUGGAUGUCAUCAGCAACAAAAACAUCAAGCUGUCAGAGCGAGUGCUUAUUCCUGUGCAGCAGUACCCGAAGUUUAAUUUUGUUGGGAAACUGCUGGGGCCCCGGGGCAAUUCCAUGAAAAGAUUACAAGAGGAAACCGGAGCGAAGAUGUCCAUUCUCGGCAAGGGCUCAAUGAGAGAUAAAGACAAGGAAGAAGAGCUGAGGAAAAGCGGGGAGGCCAAAUAUGCCCAUUUGAACAACGAUCUCCAUGUUUUAAUUGAAGUCUUCGCACCACCCGGAGAGGCGUAUUCCCGCAUGAGCCAUGCCUUGGAGGAAAUUAAAAAGUUCCUGGUUCCUGAUUACAACGAUGAGAUCAGGCAAGAGCAGCUGCGUGAGCUGUCCUACCUAAACGGCUCCGAUGACCCAAGCAGAGGAAGGAGUGUCCGAGGACGUGGCAUACGGCUAACCUCCACAGCGGUGACACGGGGUCGAGGGGGAGCAGUGCCACCUCCUCCGCCCGGCCGAGGAGCCGUAGUGCCCAGGGGGUCUGUGGGUACACGUGCGUCCCUGCCCACUACUAUGCUAACUAGAGGCGUCUCAGCACCGCGGGCCAGAGGAACAACAGGGACUCCUGGAUUCAGAGCACCUCUGCUGCAGGCUACACACAAAACCUACGAUGACUAUGGUUAUGAUGAUGGAUAUGAUGGGGAAUAUGACGAACAGAGUUAUGAGGCCUACGACGAUGGUUACAGCAACCAGUCCAAAAGCGGUUCAGAAUAUUACGAAUAUGGCCAUGGAACCAAUGACGAUACCUACAACAAUUACGCAGAAGAGGAGUGGACUCAGCCGCGUGCAAUCCUCAAAGCUCCAGCUGCAAGACUUUCACGAGGGGGCUACAGAGAUCACCCCUAUGGUAGAUACUAAAGGUGCUCCACAUCAGUGAUCUCUCCUGCCCGGCAACCUUAUGUCUCUUUCCAUCAGCUGGGAUAGAGAUCAUCAGAAGGGAUUCGCUGCAGCGUGUAUGAACGACAGAGGGCUGAUAAAACCAGAGCAGAGAUGUAAUCUCACCUGUGAGAUGUGACAAUCAGCUCCACUCAUCAACAGCCUGCUGCUACCUGAAGGCCUGGCUCUUGUGGAGGCAGCCAGGGGAGAGACAUGUCCUCGCUGUCCUUUCCAGCAGACCAGAGCAGAUGAUCAGCCUCAAGGCCUUUUACUGAACCCAGCUGUCGAAAACCCCUCAGCAGGUACGGUAACUGUGUGCUGUUUGAAGAAGUUUCAGGAAACGUCCUACUCUACACAAGCUGUUUCUCCAUCAGUGUGUGAUUUCACAAGUUGCUG
Molecule: RNA transcript, 1683 nt
Organism: Clarias gariepinus (North African catfish)
Lineage: Eukaryota; Metazoa; Chordata; Actinopteri; Siluriformes; Clariidae
Gene: khdrbs2
Gene name: KH domain containing, RNA binding, signal transduction associated 2
Exons: 13
Source: RefSeq, a predicted model, not a curated record